GACGAACGCUGGCGGCGUGCCUAAUACAUGCAAGUAGAACGCUGAAGCUUGGUGCUUGCACCGAGCGGAUGAGUUGCGAACGGGUGAGUAACGCGUAGGUAACCUGCCUGGUAGCGGGGGAUAACUAUUGGAAACGAUAGCUAAUGCCGCAUAAGAGUAGAUGUUGCAUGACAUUUGCUUAAAAGGUGCAAUUGCAUCACUACCAGAUGGACCUGCGUUGUAUUAGCUAGUUGGUGAGGUAACGGCUCACCAAGGCAACGAUACAUAGCCGACCUGAGAGGGUGAUCGGCCACACUGGGACUGAGACACGGCCCAGACUCCUACGGGAGGCAGCAGUAGGGAAUCUUCGGCAAUAGACGGAAGUCUGACCGAGCAACGCCGCGUGAGUGAAGAAGGUUUUCGGAUCGUAAAGCUCUGUUGUAAGAGAAGAACGAGUGUGAGAGUGGAAAGUUCACACUGUGACGGUAUCUUACCAGAAAGGGACGGCUAACUACGUG
This 497-nucleotide ribosomal RNA is filed under the name uncultured bacterium. RNAcentral's name for it is "partial 16S ribosomal RNA". It matches the Rfam family "Bacterial small subunit ribosomal RNA", at positions 28 to 507 of the family's 1533-position model. The record is from RNAcentral.